Small nuclear RNA from Camelus dromedarius (Arabian camel), 62 nucleotides. Its record names the gene U7. It matches the Rfam family "U7 small nuclear RNA". Rfam says of the family: Animal histone pre-mRNAs are spliced by a different mechanism than nuclear pre-mRNAs and self-splicing introns. This processing involves the U7 snRNP, which contains only one RNA species: U7. Lineage: Eukaryota; Metazoa; Chordata; Mammalia; Artiodactyla; Camelidae. The record is from Ensembl.
CAGCGUUACAGCUCUUUUAGAAUUUGCCUAGUAGGUUUUCCAAUCUACACUGGAAAGCCCCU